RNAcentral lists this ribosomal RNA (169 nucleotides) under uncultured bacterium. Its description in RNAcentral is "partial 16S ribosomal RNA". It matches the Rfam family "Bacterial small subunit ribosomal RNA", at positions 338 to 524 of the family's 1533-position model. The record is from RNAcentral.
CCUACGGGAGGCAGCAGUGGGGAAUAUUGGACAAUGGGCGAAAGCCUGAUCCAGCCAUGCCGCGUGAGUGAAGAAGGCCCUAGGGUUGUAAAGCUCUUUCGCCAGGGAAGAUAAUGACGGUACCUGGUAAAGAAGUCCCGGCUAACUCCGUGCCAGCAGCCGCGGUAAU